Molecule: long non-coding RNA, 675 nt
Filed under: Citrus sinensis (sweet orange)
Lineage: Eukaryota; Viridiplantae; Streptophyta; Magnoliopsida; Sapindales; Rutaceae
Description: long non-coding RNA (CSIN_LNC000340)
Source: RNAcentral
AAGGCAAGAGAGUGACUUAGUGGUCUUAACCAUACACAAAGGAUAAGAUUUCAUCAUCCACGCAUUCUAGCGAGCUUGCUUAUCUCUUGCUGCAUUGGUUUGUCUCUUUUCGAGUUUCUACAACACCAUUAACGCUGGCUACUAAUGAUGUACGUCUUCCUCAUUCUAAGAUUCAAUAUUUGCAUCAAUAUUUGUAAUGCUCAGUUCUUGAUUUAUUCUUCAAAUUUAUUUCUUGAGCAAUAUAUAAGCCUAUUUAUGCUUAAGGUUUAUAAUUGUGUUCGAUUUCUUUGUUUGGUUGCGCUUGGUUAAGGUGCUAAUUAUUGUUGUGUUGCAAUGUUUUAUAUUUAUAUAUAUAUAUAUGUGUGUGUGUGUGUGUGUGUUUUUUUUUUCCCAUUCUGGGUAACACAUGGAUAAUGAGAGAAAUUUUAUUUAUUCAGAAGAAAAGAUAGGGGAAGUGAGAACAGAAAAUACUAACUCGUGAAUUCCAACAAUCAAAAACAUUAGCAACUAAAUGAAAUUAAGAACUCAAAACUACAAAUGAAGAAUGUGGUAACUAAUAAGCCUAGCCGGUGCCACCAAGGAUAGCCUUGAGCCUCUUCACCGUAGCAUCGUCAAGGAAAGUGGUCUGCUCCACCAAUUGGGAAGACAAGUUGUUAGCAAAUAAGGCGAAAUCGG